GCCACAUGAGGGAGGGAGGGAGGAAGAUGAUUCGUGGGCGGGCCUGGUGAGGCCUUCCCCGCCGGCCUCUUCUUCUUCCUCGCGCUGCUGCCAUCUCCCUUGUCGUCCUCGUCGACUCCUGCAUCGCUCUUCUUGGCUGCCACUCCUUGUCAGCCGCAUCCUCGCCUAGCUGGAAGAAGCCGACGGAGGCCGACCGUCUGCAGCCACGACAUAUGAUGCAGAUUACUUGUGAUGUUCUGCACAAUCAACCUGGGAAGUGAUAGGGCUGCCUUCCAUUUUCUUGCUGGAAUGUAGCACUGAUAUUGUGGUCAGUUCAGAAAAUUGGAAGUGUUAGGAUCUUUUUAAGUUUUGGGUCUGCUGCCCCAACUCUGUCGUGCCCCAGGCCUAGCCAGGCGACAGCGGACUGCAAAGAAGCCCUGGGAGGAGGACCCCGACUCGGAUGACGACCCCGCUUGCUUCUUCGACUUGUGGACCAACUCCACUUAUGGCUUAUCCAAGUUUUCAGUGGAGGAUCUGGUUCGGCAGAUCAGUUGAACUUGGUCAAUGCUGUUGGAGGAAGGAAAUAUAAUGAGGUGUUGACUCAGGAACUGUAGGAAGAAACAUGAUAGAGUCCAGUAGACGGCUCGUAGAAGGGUUGGAGCUGAAAAAAAUAUAACAUUAGCUUUAGAACUGGUUGCCUAUGCUGAAGAAGUCCACAUUGGCAUUUUCACCCCGCUAUUGUAGGAUUUAUGAUAUGUCUGAAAAAAGGGAAUUUUACCUUGUCAUGUACGUGUACAUUUCUUGUUAUAGAUCUUACCUGCUCAAUGAAGUGCAACAAAGCAAACAAAUAUUAUUUAUAUAGCUAUCUGCAAUGCACGGUUAGGGUUGUCUCUUUCUACAGGAUAUUCUUUGUGUGUAUAUGAUCGCAGAAGAAAGAGGAUUGAGGAAAUGUAGAUGCGGCUUUGUGAGCAUCUACCGAGGUUGUCAGAUAGCACUUCUAUCUGAAGUCUUGUGGAUUAGAGAUGAAGGAUGAUGGGUUUGGCAACGAUGUUUGUUGUUUUAUUUUUCUGCUUAGUAUUUGUUUCAGAUAUAAACUAUUCUGGUUAUGAUUUCUACACUGCGUAGUGUUGCUUGGUUAUUAUGAAAUUUAAAGCUAACUUACACACACCUCUUUUCACCAUGAACAGAUAUAUAUGCACCUGCUUUUGGGUAUUAGUAUUUCCCUUUCUCUGUUAUUAAGAAUGUGGCCCUAAUAUGGAGAAAGACGUCGAUCUUCUCUCGAAGACCACAAGGUUGAUGUCUUCUGUUGAUCAAUUUUGCUGACUCAAAAUGAUACUUCAUUCAUUUUGUUGUAACGAUCACCUUUGCCAGGCCAGUUGUUCUCGAAGGACCGGGAAAUUGGGGAGGAGGACAAUGAAUAUGCAAAAGGAGAGGUUGAUGUCCAUCUGAAUGCAAAAAGGAGAGGUGCAAAUUUGAGGAUUAGCUUUUGUGGUUCUCGGUCUGCAAGGGAAUAAGAGUUCUUGUACUGACCAUUGUCUUUUUAUGUAUGCCAACUUUGCUUUGGUUAUUUCCUGGAAGCAAUAAUGUCUUUCAACCUUCGUUAUAAUGCCAAGAUGCCACUACUGGGCAAAAAGAGACAUCUUUAUUCACACCUACAUUUUGGCACAAGACAUGUUCAGCAUAAGUCUAGUCGCAAUGGUGGAGGAUAUAUCCCCGCCAUGAAUGGAUGUGUUUUACACUGAGAUGGCGCGGGUCACUGAUGAGGCAAGUGGCCGAGGUGAGCUCAGGAAGAGACGGUGG
Long non-coding RNA from Triticum dicoccoides, 1779 nucleotides. RefSeq lists it as uncharacterized. The record is from RefSeq and is a predicted model, not a curated record. The transcript is spliced from 7 exons. Lineage: Eukaryota; Viridiplantae; Streptophyta; Magnoliopsida; Poales; Poaceae.